AUUGAACGCUGGCGGAAUGCUUUACACAUGCAAGUCGGGCGGCAGCGCGGGGGCAACCCUGGCGGCGAGCGGCGAACGGGUGAGUAACACAUCGGAACGUAUCCUGUCGUGGGGGAUAACGAAUCGAAAGAUUCGCUAAUACCGCAUACGACCUGAGGGUGAAAGCGGGGGAUCGCAAGACCUCGCGCGAUUGGAGCGGCCGAUGUCGGAUUAGCUAGUUGGUGAGGUAAAGGCUCACCAAGGCGACGAUCCGUAGCGGGUCUGAGAGGACGGCCCGCCACACUGGAACUGAGACACGGUCCAGACUCCUACGGGAGGCAGCAGUGGGGAAUUUUGGACAAUGGGGGCAACCCUGAUCCAGCCAUGCCGCGUGAGUGAAGAAGGCCUUCGGGUUGUAAAGCUCUUUCGGCCGGGAAGAAAUCGCAUGGGUUAAUACCCUGUGCGGAUGACGGUACCGGCAUAAGAAGCACCGGCUAACUCCGUGCCAGCAGCCGCGGUAA
RNAcentral lists this ribosomal RNA (500 nucleotides) under uncultured bacterium. RNAcentral describes it as "partial 16S ribosomal RNA". It matches the Rfam family "Bacterial small subunit ribosomal RNA", at positions 29 to 523 of the family's 1533-position model. The record is from RNAcentral.